Molecule: ribosomal RNA, 439 nt
Filed under: uncultured bacterium
Lineage: Bacteria
Description: partial 16S ribosomal RNA
Rfam family: Bacterial small subunit ribosomal RNA
Source: RNAcentral
CUACGGGGGGCAGCAGUGGGGAAUAUUGCACAAUGGGGGAAACCCUGAUGCAGCAACGCCGCGUGGAGGAUGACACAUUUCGGUGCGUAAACUCCUUUUAUAGGUCAAGAUAAUGACGGUAGCCUAUGAAUAAGCGCCGGCUAACUCCGUGCCAGCAGCCGCGGUAAUACGGAGGGCGCAAGCGUUACUCGGAAUCACUGGGCGUAAAGAGCAUGUAGGCGGGUUAAUAAGUCAGAAGUGAAAUCCAAUAGCUCAACUAUUGAACUGCUUUUGAAACUGUUAACCUAGAGUGUGGGAGAGGUAGAUGGAAUUUCUGGUGUAGAGGUAAAAUCCGUAGAGAUCAGAAGGAAUACCGAUUGCGAAGGCGAUCUACUGGAACAUUACUGACGCUGAGAUGCGAAAGCGUGGGGAGCAAACAGGAUUAGAUACCCCGGUAGUC